Molecule: long non-coding RNA, 1110 nt
Organism: Cyanistes caeruleus (blue tit)
Lineage: Eukaryota; Metazoa; Chordata; Aves; Passeriformes; Paridae
Source: RefSeq, a predicted model, not a curated record
CAAUGCUAAAAGGAAGAAAAGAUGGAAGACUAAUCCUGAUAAAAGAUGUACUGCUUCCAGAAAUGCAAACAAUGCUGAUGCAAGGAAGUGCCUUCAUUUACCAUGUGAUACUGAAGAUAUAAUACAUGUUUUAGGACUGCUUGAGAAAGUAACUGUGAAACAUGAAAGACUGAAGAGAACCAACUGUUCUUACACCAGCACCUGUAUGACCUGUUAAUCACAGGUCACACAUGAGUUGUCAUGACAGAAUGCCUUAAUAAAAAAAAAGUCCAAAUAUCCUGACACUUGAAUAGGACCCCAAAAAGUUGUGAAGCAUCAGUAAUACAAAAAAGGACUGGAACACUGAAAAGCACUGGCAGACUGGAAUGUCUCAUAAAUUAGAUGCUUAAGAGGAGGAAAAAAAAGUCCAGAAGAAUGCCACAACAUAUUUCAGCUGAAUACUGGAUAUGGAUGACUUAAGGGUAUAGAAUUUCCAGGUACCUGUUGCCAGAGUAGCUGUAACCCUCUGAAAAUCUGAGAAAUUAAUGCAUACAGAAAAUUUUCCUGAUUUUUAUUUCAACAUCUUAUCUAGUGACCUUCUCUUUGGAAGCCUUGUCCAUCUUUUGUAAGUAUAUAAAUGACAGGAUCAAGCAAACUAGCAGUGGCAUAGGCGCAAAGCAUACAGGAUCUCAAUAUGGACACAUAGCUCAACAAUCCAAAGUGAGAGAUUCCAAAAGAUUCUCCUUGGGGAACUAUAGGAUGAGGAGUAGGAGUGAAUUUGAAAAGUACAGACUGAUAAAUUUGUAAUUGGUAUAUAACUUCUUUCUGCAAAAGCAGCAGACUGAAUUUUAUAGUACAAAGAUGGAAAGACUCUGCUAUUUAAGACACAGCCAAAACAUCUUUUCCAGGAUCAAACACAUGGAUACGCUUGUAUACCUUGAACAGAUCACUCAGCUUACGUGCUUCUGUUUUCAGGAAAAGAUAUCUAAAUUUCCCUGGAAGUCUUUCAAUCUAGGAGAUUGCAAAACCCCAAUCUAUCCCCAUUUUUUAUAGAUAACAACUAGCAUACAGACAAAAAAUUUUGUAAAGCAAUUAAAACUAAUUGUAGAGGAAAUAGUUUUAUUUCUCCCA